GAUGAAGAACGCAGCGAAAUGCGAUAAGUAAUGUGAAUUGCAGAAUUCAGUGAAUCAUCGAAUCUUUGAACGCAUCUUGCGCUCCUUGGUAUUCUGAGGAGCAUGCCUGUUUGAGUGUCAUUAAAUUCUCAACUACACUGACUUUGAAUUGGUGUGGCUUGGAUUUGGGGGGAAAAUUGUUGUGGGCUUUUUGUAUAGUCUGCUCCCCUGAAAUUGAUUAGCGGUACCUUUGUGGAACUGUCUACAGGUGUGAUAAUUACCUACAUCUUAGACAUCUGCUGGAAUGCUGCUUUCUAAACCUUACUUGUAUUGACAAUCUUGACCUCAAAUCAGGUAGGACUACCCGCUGAACUUAAGCAUAUCAAUAAGCGGAGGA
Molecule: unclassified non-coding RNA, 376 nt
Filed under: soil metagenome
Description: partial contains 5.8S ribosomal RNA, internal transcribed spacer 2, and large subunit ribosomal RNA
Rfam family: 5.8S ribosomal RNA (bases 1-120)
Source: RNAcentral